This 372-nucleotide ribosomal RNA is filed under the name uncultured bacterium. RNAcentral describes it as "bacterial SSU rRNA". It matches the Rfam family "Bacterial small subunit ribosomal RNA", at positions 526 to 896 of the family's 1533-position model. The record is from RNAcentral.
GGGGSCSGGUAAGCGUUGUUCGGAAUUACUGGGCGUAAAGGGCUCGUAGGCGGCCAACUAAGUCGGACGUGAAAUCCCUCAGCUUAACUGGGGAACUGCGUCCGAUACUGGAUGGCUUGGAUUUGGGAGAGGGAUGCGGAAUUCCAGGUGUAGCGGUGAAAUGCGUAGAUAUCUGGAGGAACACCGGUGGCGAAGGCGGCAUCCUGGACCAAUAUUGACGCUGAGGAGCGAAAGCCAGGGGAGCAAACGGGAUUAGAUACCCCGGUAGUCCUGGCCCUAAACGAUGAAUGCUUGGUGUGGCGGGUAUCGAUCCCUGCCGUGCCGAAGCUAACGCAUUAAGCAUUCCGCCUGGGGAGUACGGUCGCAAGGCUG